Hordeum vulgare subsp. vulgare (domesticated barley) is the source of this 1694-nucleotide long non-coding RNA. RefSeq lists it as uncharacterized. The transcript has 2 exons. Lineage: Eukaryota; Viridiplantae; Streptophyta; Magnoliopsida; Poales; Poaceae. The record is from RefSeq and is a predicted model, not a curated record.
UAUCAAACUUGUAAAUUUUUGAAUAUUUUCUCCCCUAUUAUAUUUGGAAUCAUAAGGUAAUGAGUUAGGAUCUACUGCUCAUUUGUAGAUUAUCCUCUCUUACUGUAAUGUCUAUGCUUUGUCAAUCUUGACAAGCGUUUACCUUCAACGUGUAUUCCUUAUAUCUAAAUUGUAGCAUACACAAGGUAAUGGCCAUGCAACCCAUUACUAUGAGAUCUAAGUGAUCUUCAAUGUGUUAUGUUCACACAAUUGAGGUUGAGAAUUUUUCAAGUUUUCACUUGACUAUCAAAUUUUUGCAUUCUUAUUACACAACCAUGAUGGUUUUUAAUUUACCGCCAAUAAAUUAAUUAUCUAUGGUUCCCCAUUAGGCAAAGAUGACCGCCAAAGAAUUUUAGGAGCUUGCCCUCAAUGGCUACAAUUGCCUUACAUGGGCUAUGGACAUCAAGAUCAGUCUUGCGUCCCAUGGGAUAGCGCGUGCAAUCCAGCCCUCGGAGGCUCCUCUCCUGGCUAGAGCCACGCCGCUGACAGAACAACAGAAUUAUGAUAGGACUCAUCUCCGCCUUCAGGAUUUCAAGUCCAUUGGGUGAAACGCAUGAUGAGGGGCACAACCUUUACCUGAAGUUUAUCUGAAUGUCAUGAAUAGACAAAAGUUUAAUGGUACCUUUCGGGGUAAACAGUCCAAUUUCAAGCAAAAGAGAAAGCGCAAUGGGAACAGAAAAUUCAGAAACUCAGGUAAGGGAAAGGGCACUGCAAAUCCCAAGUUCAAUAAAUCUAAGCUUUGCAACAAGUGUGGAUGCUACACCCAUUCGACUGAAAAGUGCUCAAUGCUCAAGCAUAUGGUUAUGCUGUACCAUCAAUCUCAAGGACGCAAAGCACCUCAAGGGAAAAGGUUUGAAGCCAACUUCAACCUUCAUCCACAUAGCACAAAAUGGAGCUGGUGAUUCGCACGACGUUCCUCCCGGACCGAGCAAUGCCAUGAUUCCUUAUCCUCUUGAGGACCCUGCUGAAACGGAGGCCAUGUUGCUUGAGUACACCUCAAACAAUAUGUUUGGCGACUUUGCCUAGUCCCUCGAUCUCCUUACUGAUCUACUUAAUUAUGUCCAUUUGUGAUGAUUGUAAUAAGAACAUAAUUUGUUGUUGUCUUUGUAUUAUAUUGUAUUAGCACAUUUGAUAUACUAAGAUUGUAUUCUAUGUAUUAACAUAAGGUUUUCUUAUUGAAAAUUAUUUUGUUUUAUAUAGUUUUCUACGGGAACAAUCCGAUGGAAGAGGAAUUAUACCUUGUAGACAGUGAUACCACAAACUCCGUACCGAGGGAGAUGAAAUAUUUCCAAACCGUGAAAAAGAUGAAUGGAGAUAUUCUAACUAUCAUUGGACGCGAUACAAUGAUUGUUGGUAUUGGACGUGCCAUAUUCACCCUCCCAAGUGGUAACAAGUGACGAUUGAGGAUGCUUUAUUGUAUCCCGACUCAUCAUGUACCCUGCUUAGUUAUCGAGAUAUCCGUAAGAAUGGUUUUAAUAUUGAAACCCAUGAAGACAACAAAGAGGAGUAUCUACUCUUUACUAAAGAUCACGGAUAAGGAAAAAAGGUGCAUGAGAAAAUUCCUUCUCUAUUGUCUGGUUUGUACUAUACGUAUAUCAAACCCGUGGAACAUGUUGCAUACAAAGUAAAUUUUCAGAACGUUGACGCAUUCGAAA